This 1244-nucleotide ribosomal RNA is filed under the name uncultured Inocybe. Its description in RNAcentral is "eukaryotic LSU rRNA". The stretch from base 627 to 1244 matches the Rfam family "Eukaryotic large subunit ribosomal RNA", at positions 1 to 622 of the family's 3401-position model. Lineage: Eukaryota; Fungi; Basidiomycota; Agaricomycetes; Agaricales; Cortinariaceae. The record is from RNAcentral.
AGGAUCAUUAUCGAAUAAACUUGAACAGGUUGUUUGCUGGCCCUUCCAGGGGGGUAUGUGCACGCUUGUCAUCUUUAUCAUUUUUCCAACUGUGCACACUUUGUAGACCACGGGGAGCAUUUUUUUCCUCUUUGCCUUCAAUUUUGGGGUCUGCUGCCCUUUCAUAAUAAAAACUCAGCUUUCCCUCCUAUUUCCCUCGUCUAUGUCCUUUUCUUCACAUCCUCUACAAAUCAUUCCGAAUCUGCAUAUAAAUAAAAAGUUAAUAAAACAACUUUCACCAACGGAUCUCUUGGCUCUCGCAUCGAUGAAGAACGCAGCGAAAUGCGAUAAGUAAUGUGAAUUGCACAAUUCAGUGAAUCAUCGAAUCUUUGAACGCAUCUUGCGCUCCUUGGUAUUCCAAGGAGCAUCCCUGUUUGAGUCUCAUUUAUAUCUUCUCUCAACCACUUCUUCAUGUCGUGGCAAAAGAGGUUCUGGGAGUCUUAUUUGCCUGCUUCUCAACCAGAAGUCGGCUCUCCUCAAAUACAUUAGUGGUAAUCCGAGCUGCUAUUCUGGCGUGAUAAUAUAUCGUAGCCUUUCCUAUGCUGUCUCACCCACCGCUUCAAAUAAAACACAUCUUUUGACAAUCUUGACCUCAAAUCAGGUAGGACUACCCGCUGAACUUAAGCAUAUCAAUAAGCGGAGGAAAAGAAACUAACAAGGAUUCCCCUAGUAACUGCGAGUGAACUGGGAAGAGCUCAAAUUUGUAAUCUGGCAGCUCUCAGAUCUGUCCGAGUUGUAAUCUAGAGAAGUGUUACCUGUGCUCGACCGUGUACAAGUCUUCUGGAAUGGAGCAUCACAGAGGGUGAGAAUCCCGUCUUCAACACGGACUGCCUGCACAUUAUGGUGCGCUCUCAAAGAGUCGAGUUGUUUGGGAAUGCAGCUCAAAAUGGGUGGUAAAUGCCAUCUAAAGCUAAAUAUUGGCGAGAGACCGAUAGCGAACAAGUACCGUGAGGGAAAGAUGAAAAGAACUUUGGAAAGAGAGUUAAACAGUACGUGAAAUUGCUGAAAGGGAAACGCUUGAAGUCAGUCGCGUCGGCUAGAAAUCAGCCUUGCUUUUGCUUGGUGUACUUUCUUGUCAACGGGUCAGCAUCAAUUUUGACCGCCGGAUAAAGUCGAUGGGAAUGUGGCAUCUUAGGAUGUGUUAUAGCCUGUCGUCGCAUACGGCGGUUGGGAUUGAGGAACUCAGCACGCCCGCAAGGGACGGG